UUAGGUAUGUCAAGAAACAGAGAGUUCCAGAGAGGAUUCGUGUUCCUCAACCCUCAAUGCAGAGAUAUGCAGUGAUUUCUAUCUUUGAAAAAUCUGAUUUGCUCUGUCGAACCUAGGCGCGAACUCCGAUUCCGGAAGAGAUGCUAUUUCUCAAUGUCUUCACUCCACUUUGCAUUUCAGAAGAAAGAUACGUUGUGGCGGUUGGAUUCUCCGGAGACUCAUCUCUUCGUCAAGGUUUUGAAAGGUCGUUUAACGUCGAAUUGAGGUUCAAGCGGAGCUUGUACAGCUAGUGCUCUUGUUAAUAGCGCAGAACAAGCGCACGGGCUUUGGAAGUUUGUAAAUUCUUGAGGCCUUUCUUAAGUUUCUCGAUAUUGAGGGUAUUUUCAUCUGCUUCAUCGUUUUCGUUCACAAGGCUUAAGUUUCCUCUUUUGCGUCGCUGUCUUGCUCGUUCCAUUCGAAGCUAUGCCCAUUGUCAAGUUGAUGAUGGAAAGCUUCAAAUAUUUUCCGCGGAAAAUGCAGAAGUAAGUGUACUUGUCGGCCUAGUAAUCCUCCUUACUCCUUAGGCACUUUUUGACAGCUUUGUUUGCUCAUCUCAGUUACUCAUUUUAUUUCCUUCAGUCCUGGCCAUGAGUAUUUUGUCGCUCAACUCAGAUUCUUAAAGUUUGAAGGAUAUAUCAGGACAUGAAAAAUCUCAUUGACGUUGCUGAAUAUCUGGUGGAUGCAUUUACGGUAAUCUUGAGGAAGGUGGUUGGAACUGGAUCGGCUAAUAUUUAACAUGGGGGUCUUUUUUUGCUGGUGAUCCAAACGUAUGUCCCAGCUCUUCUGUAUGGUGCUUAUUAUGAAUGUUGGAAGUGCAUAGCUUCUCAGGGUUCAUCAUGUUCUUCACUUGCAUCAACAGGUUUUGCCUCCAUCUGUUCAUGCAAUUAUAGCAACUGCAUCAGUAUUGAUGUGGUUGUUUCAGUCUGAACAUGAAUACAAGGCAAUGGUCUGCUGCAAUUGCACUAGGGUUGGUCUCUCGUUGUUUACAUGCAAGUAUGCAACUGAUCACAAGCCAAAAUUUCAGAUCAUUGCUGGACUUCUUGAGGUGCAUAGUUAUGCAGCAAUUCUCUAUUAACAUCCUUGCAAAUGGUUUGCUGGAGGCAUUCAUGCCUAUUGGAAAGAACUGCUAAAUUAAGUUCUUGUUUAGGUCAAGUAUGACCGCCUAAAGAAGGGCCCAACAAGCAUAGGUUUUUUACACUUAUAUGAUUAUAUGUAAGAUAACUGUGAUAAUUUUAUAUAGCUAUGCUUAUAUGCAACAUC
Molecule: long non-coding RNA, 1299 nt
Organism: Macadamia integrifolia
Lineage: Eukaryota; Viridiplantae; Streptophyta; Magnoliopsida; Proteales; Proteaceae
Exons: 4
Source: RefSeq, a predicted model, not a curated record